Molecule: long non-coding RNA, 1079 nt
Filed under: Fragaria vesca (wild strawberry)
Lineage: Eukaryota; Viridiplantae; Streptophyta; Magnoliopsida; Rosales; Rosaceae
Description: long non-coding RNA (FVES_LNC002209)
Source: RNAcentral
AUGUAAAAGAUACUAUUUCUGUUUCUGGUAUGGACAGCAAUUCACUUCUGGCCAUAAAUAAUUGAAUGGAAUAUUUCUCUGUUCAACCUACAGUCUAUCAGAUACAAUAUUGAGUGAGCAUAUAACCCAAAUACAGUCAAACAUUACUGAAACUUAUAUAUAUGCUCAGACCCAAAUACUGAAAUCCAUACCCUCUGUGUAAAACAUGAGCAUCCUCAAGUGGCUGGAAAUUGAAUCGACUAGCUAGAUAAAGCACUGAAAAGGGAAAGUAGCAAAGUACUGAAAAUCAGAAUGGAAUUUCCAUGUUGCCAAUUUCUUUUCACAAAAUCAGAUUCUACUUUGAAUCAGCAUCUAGAUUAGCCAGAUAGUAACAAAAGAACAAAGAGAAAAAGAAGAUCAAAGAGGAGAGACAGAGACCAGAGAAUGAAGAUAAAGUCAUUCUUUUCUUAAUCACCUCCAACUCAUUGCAAAGCAAACAAAUUACAUGAUAGGUGUAAGUGAUGCAUGCCCAGCAGCCCACCUAAGUAAAGUAAACUAGCUAGCUUCUCUAGUAUGCAUCUCUUACAUCCCAUGUUUUAUAACAUCAAACAUACUUAAGAAAAAAGGAGCAAGUAAUUAACAUAACAAAAAAAAACCUGAAAAUUAAAAGCAGAAAGACCUCAAGAGUUAAGUAAUUAAGUACAUGAAAGAAAGUGAAAGACCAUAGUGAUAAGGUUAAGGUAAAUUCGGACCGCUACCCUCAAUUCCCCGCAAUGCAAUAGCGCCGCUCUCCAAACUCUUCCUCUCCCACUUUUGUGGUGGUGGCUAGACGUUCAGGAGAGCGCGCGCAAUUGCAAAGCCUUGUUUAGUAUGUUGUCUUUGCAAUCAGCUCCCUUCUCCUGGUCGCCGCCAGCCGCCAGCCACCACCACCUUCAUCAUCUCCAUUGCCAACGAAGUAGCCCAGGAAUCCCCACUGGUGGUGGCUGGCCAUCAUCAUAUGAUUGUACAAUGAUGAAUGAUAUGAUUGAGCUGAAAAUGUAAUGUGCUAGCUCAGCUGAGCUAGCAAGAAAGAGAGAAAGGAAGGAAGAGUAGUUUGAAAU